This 216-nucleotide long non-coding RNA is filed under the name Elaeis guineensis (African oil palm). RNAcentral's name for it is "long non-coding RNA (EGUI_LNC008272)". Lineage: Eukaryota; Viridiplantae; Streptophyta; Magnoliopsida; Arecales; Arecaceae. The record is from RNAcentral.
UGCUUUAAACUUUGCCCAUAUAAUAGAAAGGCAGGAAAUCCCAAAAGGGCCUUAUUUCAUCAGAAAAUAAGGACAUUACAUGCCUUAUUGAAGAGAUGGCAAAGAUCUCUCGCACCAAAACAAUAUUCUCAACUUUAGCUAUAGAGGUUGCGAAGAAAGUUUGUCUUCCAUCUCAUAUAGGGCACUCAGGCAAUGAGAUCUGUGUCUCUUCAUGUG